Molecule: long non-coding RNA, 639 nt
Filed under: Cercocebus atys (sooty mangabey)
Lineage: Eukaryota; Metazoa; Chordata; Mammalia; Primates; Cercopithecidae
Description: lncRNA (ENSCATG00000045384.1)
Source: RNAcentral
CUGUGAAUUACCAGGAAAGAGCUCCAUUUUACUUUUUUUUUCUUUCUGGUCAAACAUUUUCUUCUUAAACUUUUUGGACUGCUACCUGUUUUCAAGCAGACGGCUAAUCCUGUAGGCAAAUGGACUGGGUUUUUCUUAGGCCUUGACAUCAUCUCUUGUCAACAAGCUUUUUCUUUUUUUAAAAAUUAGCCAGUUUUGUACAAAACCAAGAAAUACCAUGUCCAGCUGAGGGCUGGGGUGGUGGCAACAAAAUCAAGCUGAUGAAUUAAAGAAAUAUUGCCUGGUCAGGAUGCCUGGAGGCCUCAGAGUUCUGAUCUUUCUUCUGAGUGGCUUCUUCUUCUGGACGGCUCCCAGGGUGGUGUUUGUGAUAAGCUGGUUUGCCCAGUAAAACUGUCACCCAAUGAAGGAAAAUCCACAUUUUGGCUCUCACCGCGUCUAGGAUGCCUUCCCCGGAUGCUGCCACUUAUCCCUUGUCUCCCGCAAGCAGCCCAGUGCUGGCACUUUGUAGGUGUUUAUCGAGUCCCUGUGGCACUUACCUCUGGAAAUCCACAUCUGGCAUUUGAUGCUAUGCUGAAAUCAGCAAAUGCAGUCACAGACCAGCGCCAUGAUCUAACCAACCCAUUUUUCAGACAGGACGAU